RNAcentral lists this ribosomal RNA (432 nucleotides) under uncultured bacterium. RNAcentral's name for it is "partial 16S ribosomal RNA". It matches the Rfam family "Bacterial small subunit ribosomal RNA", at positions 29 to 506 of the family's 1533-position model. The record is from RNAcentral.
AACGAACGCUGGCGGCACGCCUAACACAUGCAAGUCGAACGAGACCUUCGGGUCUAGUGGCGCACGGGUGCGUAACGCGUGGGAACCUGCCCUUAGGUUCGGAAUAACUCCCCGAAAGGGGUGCUAAUACCGGAUAAUGUCUUCGGACCAAAGAUUUAUCGCCUUUGGAUGGGCCCGCGUUGGAUUAGCUAGUUGGUAGGGUAAAAGCCUACCAAGGCGACGAUCCAUAGCUGGUCUGAGAGGAUGAUCAGCCACACUGGGACUGAGACACGGCCCAGACCCCUACGGGAGGCAGCAGUGGGGAAUAUGGGAAAAGGGGCGAAAGCCUGACCCAGAAAUGCCGGGGGAGUGAUGAAGGCCUUAGGGUUGAAAAGCUUUUUUACCCGGGAUGAUAAGGACAGUACCGGGAGAAAAAGCCCCGGCUAACUCCGG